CAUUGACAUUCUGUGCGUUUUAGUUUAUACUUCUGCCAAGUGUGAGGGAAAGAUACGAGUAGUCACUUCGUAUCUUAACUCUUAGUUUAUCGUCUUGUUCGUUUGCUCUUACUGAACGAGGGCGUUCAGAAACGUUUAGGAGUUUCGCGAAUUUUCGUGAGCGUAUUAGAUAUAGACGAUGGGACAUUUUGUUAAGAUCUCGUAUCAUGUCUUGAGAUGUUAAUGGACCAGUAGGACUGGGUUUAAGGCAAGACCUAGGUUUACUUUCGGCUCUAA
This 276-nucleotide long non-coding RNA is filed under the name Brassica napus (rape). Its description in RNAcentral is "long non-coding RNA (BNAP_LNC015670)". The record is from RNAcentral. Lineage: Eukaryota; Viridiplantae; Streptophyta; Magnoliopsida; Brassicales; Brassicaceae.